Hordeum vulgare subsp. vulgare (domesticated barley) is the source of this 1901-nucleotide long non-coding RNA. RefSeq lists it as uncharacterized. The record is from RefSeq and is a predicted model, not a curated record. The transcript has 10 exons. NCBI's taxonomy places the organism in Eukaryota, Viridiplantae, Streptophyta, Magnoliopsida, Poales, Poaceae.
UGGCUCGCGUUCGAGCCCGUGGAGGGUUGUGUUCAAGGCCUUCAUGCUUGCUGGGAGGCCCAAGUGAGGAUGAGCUGCUGGGUGGUGAAUUGUGAUCAGUGACAUUUGUUAUCCCAUUGUCAGAAUAGUAAGUACUCGGCUGUUCUAUAUUUCUUGAAUGGGGGUGUUUACCCGAGCACUACAUCAGUCCCAACGUCAAAGGUGAUUUGAUACUCGCAUAAUAAUAAGUACUCCAGCUGUUCUAAAUUUCUUGAAUGGGGGUGUUUACCCAAGCACUACAUCAGUCCCAACGUCAAAGGUGAUUUGAUACUCGCAUUUCGAAUGCCAAAAUGCGAUUUCCGUGCUUCCUUUGAAUCUUUCUUCUUUAUUCUUAUCUGAACAAAAUGCCAAAAUGUUCAGGAGUAUGUUCUUCAGCUCCUCGGGUGGACGGGCUUCGAGUGAAGAUGUUCGCGUGGGUUCUCGAGACGCCGGUCCUCGGCUCUGUCGUGCUUAACAAAGAUCAAAGAUUACCUCGUCAACAAGCCAAGCUGAUGCAAUUCAUUUUUGCCGGGAACCUUCUUGGCUUGCCUGCCAUUACUGUUCCUCUAAGUGUGGUGUCACAACUCAUGACGAGUUGGUCAUGACAAGCAAGGCCUUCCUAUCGGCUUGCAACUGAUAGGCCGUCCGUGGGGCGAGGCUAGCUUAUUGAGCGUGGCUUCGGCAGUAGAGGAGCUCUGCCUGAAGAAAAGAAAUCGGCCAUCCACGUUUUACGACAUCCUGAAGACCUGAAACAUCAUCAGUAUACCAUACUAUCAAUAGUAUGUGAGAGAAACAUUGUAGCAGCAAUAAGCAAGUGAGGUACAGCAGUAUAUAUAUAUAUAAAGAACCGUUUGGACGUUUGGGAUAUAUGAUGAAGGUCUUCCUCUGGACAGCGAGCAGGAGAAGCUCACCGCGGAGGCUGAUUUCAAAAUUUCAGAUAGAAUGGGGAAGGAUGCCGGAGAUGUAGGGUUGUUGCUCCAGCGACGCCGGAGCCCAUUCAAGGGAAGAGAACACAUAAUCCAAGUGUUGCAACCUUUUCUGCUCCAGAUUUCCAUUGCGAUAUUAGUUAUAUGCAAGCAGCCUCCCAGGGUUCAAUCUUGGCGGCAAAAUCUCCACAACAAUGAGGGGGAUUCGACGAGCAUUUUGUCAAUAUCUGAUGUUACUUGUUACAUUUUUUCUGAAAUUUAAAAGCUUUCAGGUGUGUAAUGAGUUUCAGUAACAGUUUCAUUGUUUUUUUGUUAUAUGUCAUGGUUUAGAGUCGAAUGAAAUUUUCGGGCAUUUGUCGCUUAAAUCGUGGCAAGUGAGCUUCAGACUGAGGUCACGACUUCACGAGCCCAUCCUAUUGUCCUUGCCUCCAAUCCCUGAAUCCAGAAAAGACAGUGGGGUUUCGGUCCAAGAUUGCCGAGGACGAUGAGCAGCUUGGUGGUGCAGCUGCGAACGGUUGCGAUCAUCAGCAGAAGGCACGGACGCUAGGAAAUAUGCUUCAACAAGUGCAUCAGCUCACUAGGAUGACUGACACAUCAGCAGCUGAAGCAAGGGCAGGAAAGGGUAUACAAGGUAUACCAUGGGAAAAGUUACAAAUUACCAGGAAGGAUUACAGAAAAGCUAGGUUGGAACAGUACAAGAACUAUGAAAACUUCGUUCAAUCCGGAGAGCUCAUGGAUAAGGUCUUUAAUUACUAUAAAUUGUACCUGUCAAUGUUUAGGCUUACGGUAUAACAUAUCCACGCGACCAACCAUGAUUUUUUUUACAAAGAAGAUGAAGAGAAUCCUAAGGGAUGUUGUAUGAACUCGCCUUUUUAUUGUACAUUUGUACCAUUGUAUCGACAAAAUUGACAAAUCGAUACAAAUUUGACAAAUCAAGUUAGAAGUUCAAUUUAUUUA